This 95-nucleotide small nucleolar RNA is filed under the name Echinops telfairi (small Madagascar hedgehog). RNAcentral's name for it is "Small nucleolar RNA SNORA61 (ENSETEG00000025048.1)". The record is from RNAcentral. Lineage: Eukaryota; Metazoa; Chordata; Mammalia; Afrosoricida; Tenrecidae.
ACUCUCCAAAUCCCUUGCUCUUAGAUUGAAUAUUGAUCUAGGUGGCUGCAAAAGGAGGAAAAGUAAAAGUAAAGCUGACUUGGAGUUUUUAAUGA